ACGGAAGAUGCGAGCGUUAUCCGGAUUUAUUGGGUUUAAAGGGAGCGUAGGCGGGCUUUUAAGUCAGCGGUCAAAUGCCACGGCUCAACCGUGGCCAGCCGUUGAAACUGCAAGCCUUGAGUCUGCACAGGGCACAUGGAAUUCGUGGUGUAGCGGUGAAAUGCUUAGAUAUCACGAAGAACUCCGAUCGCGAAGGCAUUGUGCCGGGGCAGCACUGACGCUGAGGCUCGAAAGUGCGGGUAUCAAACAG
RNAcentral lists this ribosomal RNA (250 nucleotides) under uncultured bacterium. RNAcentral describes it as "partial 16S ribosomal RNA". It matches the Rfam family "Bacterial small subunit ribosomal RNA", at positions 525 to 775 of the family's 1533-position model. The record is from RNAcentral.